Molecule: ribosomal RNA, 354 nt
Filed under: uncultured bacterium
Lineage: Bacteria
Description: bacterial SSU rRNA
Rfam family: Bacterial small subunit ribosomal RNA
Source: RNAcentral
UCCACGCCCUAAACGAUGUUCACUAGUCGUCGGAAUGCUAGUCAUUUCGGUGAUGCACUUAACAGAUUAAGUGAACCGCCUGGGGAGUACGGUCGCAAGAUUAAAACUCAAAGGAAUAGACGGGGACCCGCACAAGUGGUGGAGCAUGUGGUUUAAUUCGAAAAUACGCGAAGAACCUUACCUAGCCUUGACAUUGAAGAAACACAGUAGAGAUACAGUGGUGCCCUUCGGGGAAUCUGAAAACAGGUGCUGCACGGCUGUCGUCAGCUCGUGUCGUGAGAUGUUGGGUUAAGUCCCGCAACGAGCGCAACCCUCGUCCUUAGUUGCCAGCAGGUUAUGCUGGGCACUCUAAGG